GAAAUUAUGUUCCUGCUUCCACUUUUCCUCUUGGCCUUGACUUUUUUCAUCUUCAAUAUUUUCAGAUCAUCAAAAACCACACAACUUCCACCAGGAUCAACACCAUGGCCAGUCAUAGGUAGUAUUUUUCAAAUGGUAAAAAUGCCUCACAUAACUCUGACAAAUUUAGCAAAAACUUAUGGCCCUGUUAUGUCCCUAAAGCUUGGAACUAAAUGGUUAGUUGUUGGAUCAUCAUCUCUUGCUGCUAUAGAAAUCCUCAAAACCCAUGAUAGAAUUCUGUCAGGGAGAGAUGUUCCAAAU
Molecule: unclassified non-coding RNA, 300 nt
Filed under: Hevea brasiliensis (rubber tree)
Lineage: Eukaryota; Viridiplantae; Streptophyta; Magnoliopsida; Malpighiales; Euphorbiaceae
Source: RNAcentral